GAUGAAGAACGUAGCGAAAUGCGAUACGUAAUGUGAAUUGCAGAAUUCAGUGAAUCAUCGAAUCUUUGAACGCACAUUGCACUCUCUGGUAUUCCGGAGAGUAUGCUUGUUUGAGUAUCAGUAAACACCUCAAAUCUCUUGUUUCUUGUGAAUAAGAGAAUUGGACUUGAGCAAUCCCAACUCUUGCAAAAGAGGCGGGUUGCUUGAAAUGCAGGUGCAGCUGGACAUUCUUCUGAGCUAAAAGCAUAUUUAUUUAGUCCCGUAAAACGGAUUAUUACUUUUGCUGCAGCUAACAUAAAGGUUGAAUGGCCAAUAUGACUGACUGAUGCAGGAUUAACAGAGAAUUUAUUCUUUGUAAACUCGAUCUCAAAUCAAGUAAGACUACCCGCUGAACUUAAGCAUAUCAAUAAGCGGAGGA
This 418-nucleotide unclassified non-coding RNA is filed under the name soil metagenome. RNAcentral's name for it is "partial contains 5.8S ribosomal RNA, internal transcribed spacer 2, and large subunit ribosomal RNA". The stretch from base 1 to 120 matches the Rfam family "5.8S ribosomal RNA", at positions 35 to 154 of the family's 154-position model. The record is from RNAcentral.